GGGACAACGGAUUGCCUCAGUAGCGGCGAGUGAAGCGGCAAGAGCUCAGAUUUGAAAUCGUGCUUUGCGGCACGAGUUGUAGAUUGCAGGUUGGAGUCUGUGUGGAAGGCGGUGUCCAAGUCCCUUGGAACAGGGCGCCCAGGAGGGUGAGAGCCCCGUGGGAUGCCGGCGGAAGCAGUGAGGCCCUUCUGACGAGUCGAGUUGUUUGGGAAU
Molecule: ribosomal RNA, 213 nt
Filed under: Pichia kudriavzevii
Lineage: Eukaryota; Fungi; Ascomycota; Pichiomycetes; Pichiales; Pichiaceae
Description: partial 26S ribosomal RNA
Rfam family: Eukaryotic large subunit ribosomal RNA
Source: RNAcentral